AUUGAACGCUGGCGGCAGGCUUAACACAUGCAAGUCGAGCGGAGUGAUGGUGCUUGCACUAUCACUUAGCGGCGGACGGGUGAGUAAUGCUUAGGAAUCUGCCUAUUAGUGGGGGACAACAUCUCGAAAGGGAUGCUAAUGCCGCAUACGUCCUACGGGAGAAAGCAGGGGAUCACUUGUGACCUUGCGCUAAUAGAUGAGCCUCAGUCGGAUUAGCUAGUUGGUGGGGUAAAGGCCUACCAAGGCGACGAUCUGUAGCGGAUCUGAGAGGAUGAUCAGCCACACUGGAACUGAGAAACGGUCCAGACUCCUACGGGAGGCAGCAGUGGGGAAUAUUGGACAAUGGGGGGAACCCUGAUCCAGCCAUGCCGCGUGUGUGAAGAAGGCCUUAUGGUUGUAAAGCACUUUAAGCGAGGAGGAGGCUACUCUAGUUAAUACCUAGGGAUAGUGGACGUUACUCGCAGAAUAAGCACCGGCUAACUCUGUGCCAGCCGCCGCGGUAA
RNAcentral lists this ribosomal RNA (503 nucleotides) under uncultured bacterium. RNAcentral's name for it is "partial 16S ribosomal RNA". It matches the Rfam family "Bacterial small subunit ribosomal RNA", at positions 30 to 523 of the family's 1533-position model. The record is from RNAcentral.